RNAcentral lists this ribosomal RNA (492 nucleotides) under uncultured bacterium. RNAcentral describes it as "partial 16S ribosomal RNA". It matches the Rfam family "Bacterial small subunit ribosomal RNA", at positions 29 to 507 of the family's 1533-position model. The record is from RNAcentral.
AGUGAACGCUGGCGGUAGGCCUAACACAUGCAAGUCGAACGGCAGCACAGUAAGAGCUUGCUCUUACGGGUGGCGAGUGGCGGACGGGUGAGGAAUACAUCGGAAUCUACUUUUUCGUGGGGGAUAACGUAGGGAAACUUACGCUAAUACCGCAUACGACCUACGGGUGAAAGCAGGGGAUCUUCGGACCUUGCGCGAUUGAAUGAGCCGAUGUCGGAUUGGCUAGUUGGCGGGGUAAAGGCCCACCAAGGCGACGAUCCGUAGCUGGUCUGAGAGGAUGAUUAGCCACACUGGAACUGAGACACGGUCCAGACUCCUACGGGAGGCAGCAGUGGGGAAUAUUGGACAAUGGGCGCAAGCCUGAUCCAGCCAUACCGCGUGGGUGAAGAAGGCCUUCGGGUUGUAAAGCCCUUUUGUUGGGAAAGAAAAGCAGCAGGUUAAUACCCCGCUGUUCUGACGGUACCCAAAGAAUAAGCACCGGCUAACUUCGUG